GCGUGAGUGAUGAAGGCCUUAGGGUUGUAAAGCUCUUUUACCCGGGAAGAUAAUGACGGUACCGGGAGAAUAAGCUCCGGCUAACUUCGUGCCAGCAGCCGCGGUAAUACGAAGGGGGCUAGCGUUGUUCGGAAUUACUGGGCGUAAAGCGUGCGCAGGCGGCCUUUCAAGUCAGGGGUGAAAGCCCAGAGCUCAACUCUGGAAUUGCCUUUGAAACUGUUUGGCUUGAGUGCGGGAGAGGUGAGUGGAAUUCCCAGUGUAGAGGUGAAAUUCGU
RNAcentral lists this ribosomal RNA (275 nucleotides) under uncultured bacterium. RNAcentral describes it as "partial 16S ribosomal RNA". It matches the Rfam family "Bacterial small subunit ribosomal RNA", at positions 399 to 691 of the family's 1533-position model. The record is from RNAcentral.